Musa acuminata AAA Group (dessert banana) is the source of this 991-nucleotide long non-coding RNA. RefSeq lists it as uncharacterized. The transcript is spliced from 4 exons. The record is from RefSeq and is a predicted model, not a curated record. Lineage: Eukaryota; Viridiplantae; Streptophyta; Magnoliopsida; Zingiberales; Musaceae.
CACCAAUGCACAGGGACAUGCACUCACAAGCAGGACAAGUGCCAACCUGAACCAUCUUUUAGUAUCAUUAACUCUCAUUAGCAUUGGAACUACUGCAACCCCUGCUGCUAUUGUCACCACAGCUGCAUUGGUAGUAGCAAUGGAGAAAUCUUGCUGAGAGGAUCUUCAACUAAUGGCCUACUGACCUGGUCAUCGGUGAUCAAAGAGUUAGUUGAAGAAGCAUGACAAAAGUAUUGUACCAUCUAUGUUUAGUGUGCCAGCCCAAACUGGUGAUUGCGGCUGCUUGACUACAGGGAAGGACUCUCCUGUGAGGCUACUCUCAUCAACUUCACUCUGCCCUUCAACCACAACUCCAUCGAUUGGGAUCACUUCUCCGGCUUUAACUGCCAGAAUUGUGUUGGUCUUCACAUCUUGAGCAUCCACUACUUCGCCUGUUUCCGCUAAAAUGGCCUUUUGUGGUGCCAUCCUCAUCAGCGUUGACAUCCCAGCGGUGGCCUGGAGGUAACUUAGGUUCAAACAAGUUUCAUAAGUUCCUUUGGCAGGCUCAUAUAUUGUUCAGUGAUGACACAGGAAGCAUUUUGUGGUCAGUGUCUCCAAACCUCUCAAGUAGUCCCCAAACUUGCACCAUACUUUCACUGCAAAUCUAUACAUUCACUUGAUUGCAUUGAAUGUGUAGAAAAGUAUUGGUGUGAAUCAGACUCCAGCCAGAUGGUUUUGAUGAACUGUAUCUGACUGGUAGCUUUUCUGUUUGCCCUACCAUCUUCUUUUCAUCCUGCAUCUCAUCCAUAGGUCUAUAUUGGUAAAUGACCCAAUAAAUGAUGUGGGGUUGGGUUUCCUACUAUGUCACUUCUGACCCAGCACCACAAAAUCCUCGAAUUGUGUGCCCACAGUCAUAUUAGGAUGAAAUAUAUAUAUAUAUAUAUAUAUAUAUAUAGAGAGAGAGAGAGAGAGAGAGAGAGAGAGAGAGAGAGAGAGAGAGAGAGAGAGAGAG